Molecule: ribosomal RNA, 377 nt
Filed under: uncultured organism
Description: partial 16S ribosomal RNA
Rfam family: Bacterial small subunit ribosomal RNA
Source: RNAcentral
GGAGGUUGCAAGCGUUGUUCGGGAUUUACUGGGGCGUAAAGGGAGCGCAGGCGGUUUGAUCAGUCUGAAGUGGGAAGCCCGGGGGGCUCAACCCCGGGAAGGCCUUUGGAUACUGUCAAACUUGAGUUCGUGAGAGGAAAGCGGAAUUCCAGGUGUAGCGGUGAAAUGCGUAGAUAUCUGGAGGAACAUCGGUGGCGAAAGCGGCUUUCUGGCACGAUACUGACGCUGAGGCUCGAAAGCGUGGGGAGCGAACAGGAUUAGAUACCCUGGUAGUCCACGCCGUAAACGUUGUGCACUAGGUGUAGGAGGUAUCGACCCCUUCUGUGCCGCAGCUAACGCAUUAAGUGCACCGCCUGGGGAGUACGCUCGCAAGAGUG